GCGCGGUUGGCGUAGUGGUCUAACGUGUACACUCCAAAAUUUUGUGCUGAGGGCCGGCUACCCGAGGACGCACACACACACAAAGUGUGAAAGCGGCCGGCAACCGUAGUGUAAGAUCCCGGGUUCGAAUCCCGGACCGCGCA
Non-coding RNA from Copromyces sp. CBS 386.78, 143 nucleotides. Lineage: Eukaryota; Fungi; Ascomycota; Sordariomycetes; Sordariales; Sordariaceae. The record is from the annotation of a GenBank genome assembly.